RNAcentral lists this ribosomal RNA (292 nucleotides) under uncultured bacterium. Its description in RNAcentral is "partial 16S ribosomal RNA". It matches the Rfam family "Bacterial small subunit ribosomal RNA", at positions 505 to 796 of the family's 1533-position model. The record is from RNAcentral.
GUGCCAGCAGCCGCGGUAAUACAGAGACUGCAAGCGUUAUUCGGAUUCACUGGGCGUAAAGGGUGCGCAGGCGGCCGUGUGUGUUGGGCGUGAAAGCCCGGGGCUUAACCCCGGAAUUGCGCCCAAAACUACAUGGCUAGAGCAUUGGAGAGGGUAGCAGAAUUCAUGGUGUAGCAGUGAAAUGCGUAGAUAUCAUGAGGAAUACCAGAGGCGAAGGCGGCUACCUGGACAAUUGCUGACGCUCAGGCACGAAAGCGUGGGGAGCAAAAGGGAUUAGAUACCCCCGUAGUCC